Molecule: long non-coding RNA, 4217 nt
Filed under: Homo sapiens (human)
Lineage: Eukaryota; Metazoa; Chordata; Mammalia; Primates; Hominidae
Description: HSALNT0183366
Source: RNAcentral
GGCCUGUGAUGUCAAGAGAAAACAGAAAAAGAGAAGCGAAUUCCACCUUUGCCCACUGAGAACAAAUCUACCCAACUCCUCUGUCACAACCCCUGUGAGAAGAUUCUGCCAUCUCCCAGCCCUGAAGACUGUGAGGUCAUCUGACCACCUAUUACAUUGCUAAAUAUGGCAAGAUGUCACCUGACUCGACAUUAGGCUGCCCGUCAAUCAUCACACUCCUUUUCUCCCACUUACUUUUCUAUCACCCCGUAGAAGGUUCCCAACAGCUGUCCUUAAGUCCUCCAGGCUAUAGAAACCGCUCUUGAAACAAUAUGUCAGCAUACCAUUAGUGUCCUUCAACUCACACCCUCACUUCCCAGCCCCUCCUCUGUGAACAAAGUCUCUCCUUACCUCUUCCGCCAGCACUAAUCAACCUAAUGUUCCUUCACUGUUUUCCCCCCUCCCAGCUUCCCUCCAACCUGCACCCCACACCCCCCCAUCCUUUCUCCUCUUUCUUUCCAAGUCUCCACACUAUGACCGAACACUUGUCAGAAAUGGUGCUCCCCCUGGGCCCCUCCACACCUCCUGAAGCCCAAUCCCCAUCACUUCUUACCACCCCCAGCUCUCUGAUGGCCCUGGGCCUCCCUCCCGACAGCUGAGGCCUUUCCUGGAUCUCUACACAUCACCAAGCUAAGCCAGUGUUCCAAAAUAGUCUCCUGAACAAUGAUGACAACUGCACGGUUAUUUUGGAAGAACUUCCUGGCAGCGAUGGCAGUGGAACAUUAGACACGGAGAGGAACAGGAGGUGGGAAGAGGAGGCUAAGUGCAUGUGGGCCUGAAAGUCCCUGCUUUGGGAGUUUUUUAACAGUCCUGGAUGGAGAAACACAAAGACCCAGCGGAGUCUGCAUUUUCUAGGUUUAGUCAGCCAUUCUGGAAGCUGUGUCCUGGUAACCACAGUGUCCCAGCUAUGAACUCCAGGCAAGUGUACAGCAUCAUCUUCCAUUCACCAUGUGGUUACUGCACUUCUCAUACAAACUACCUGCGUCACUCAGUUAUCCACUAUCAAGGACUAUGCCACACUCCCUAGAGCAGAUGCAGGGCACUUAGAGAUUAAUAAAACAGGCUGGGCACAGUGGCUCAAGCCUGUAACCCCAGCACUUUGGGAGGCUGAGAUAGAAGAACUACUUGAGCCCAGGAGUUCAAGACCAGCCUUGGCAACCUAGUGAGACCCCCAUCUCUACUAAAAAAUAAAAAACUAGCCUGGCAUGGUGGCACCUUCCUGUGGUCCCAGCUACUUGGGAGGCUGAGAUGGGAGGAUCCCUUGAGCUCAGGAGGUUGAGGCUGCAGUGAGUUGUGAUUGCACCACUGCACAGCAGCCUGGGCAACAGAGCAAGACCCUGUCUCAAAAAAAUUAAUUAAAUAAAUAAAAAUAAAAAUAAAACACUUUUAGAGUUCAAGUCUUAAUCGCCAUAUGGCUUUGAGCAACUUAUUUUAUCUCACUAUGCCUCCAUUUCCUAGACCUGGAAACGAAAAUAAGAGAGAAUGAAAUUUAAACAGCUUCUCAGAAGAGUAUGUAAGUUAAGCCACAUAAAGCAUAUAAAUAUCAGUCACUUAGUAGCCACUCGGCACAUGGUAAUUACAAAGCAUGGUGCCAUAAGAAGUUGCUGGGGAGGCAGACAUGUAAAUGAAUGCAGAAAAUAUAUGAGGAAUACUAAAAUAGAAAUUAAAGUGUCCUGUGGCUUUUUCGUCCACAUAGACGAGUGUCAAAGCUAGUAUCUCUCUGGGAGGAUCAUGGCAGACAGGAGGCAGGCCUAGAUUGCAGCUCCCACUCAGACGGACAGAGCAGCAUGUGGAGUAUUGCAUCAUGAACUUUUGCUCCAGAAUGACUGCAGGAAGAAAUCAGGAAAGCCAAGAGAACCCACAGACCCUCUGAAGGAAGUGAAUUGCUCCUGCAUGACCUGGGAGACACCCCAAAUACCGUGAGUGCCCAAACUAUGGAAGUGGGAAAGGGGCAUCAUUCAGUCCCAAACACACAACCUCACUGGGGAACCUCAAGAUCUAGAUCACCAGAGAAGAUUCUAACAUUACCUGGAGCUGAGUCAAUUUAGAGAGCCGAGUGAAACGCAGGGGUAGAAGAAGCAGUGGGAAAAUCCCUGUGGGCUCUCUGGGUGCCCUAGCAAGCCAUUUCUGCCUUGCCUCCCAGGGGUCAUUGGGGAGGGCUACCAGAGGCACUGGGAAAAGGCCACAGGGAGAAGGAAGCCUCCAGCUGAACUUCGUAACAAUUCCAACUGAACAAGAAGUCUCCUGGCCAGAACUACAGGGAGGGCGUGAAUCCUGUGUGCAGACCACAGGUGGGGAAGCACGAAGGGUUCACAGCUUUCACAGCUGGGAGGCUGGUAGCCUGGGGCAAGCUCUCAGCCCUGCUUGUCCACUGCCUGGACACAGACUUAGUGCUGUUGAGCAGGGAAUGGUGAGAGUGAGACUGGCCCUUUGGGUUGUGUGGGAGCUGGGUGAGGCCUGUGAUUGCCAGCUUUCCCUCACUUCCCUGACAACCUGCAUGACACAGCAGAGGCAGCAUAAUCCUCCUAGGAACACAACCCCAUUGACCUGCGAACCACACCUCCAUCCCCCACAAGCAAGACCCACUCAAGGAGAGUCUGAACUCAGACAUGCCUAGCACUGCCCCCACUUAAUGGGCCUUCCCUACCCACCCUGGUAGCUGAAGACAAACAGCAUAUACUCUUGGGAGUUCUAGGGCCCUACCCACCGCCUGAUCCCUCCCAUACUACCACAGCUGAUGCUCUCUGGAAAGUGCCACCUCCCAGCAGGAAGCCAACCGGCUCAAAAAUAGUGCAUUAAACCACCAAAACUAAGGACCCUCACAGAGUCCAUUUCACCCCCCACCACCUCCACCACAGCAGGCAUUGGUAUCCACAGCUGAGAGACCCACAGAUGGUUCACAUCACAAGACUCUGUACAGACAACUCCCAGUGCCAGCCCAGAGCCUGGUAGACCUGUUGGGUGACUAAAUUCAGAAGAGAGAUAAUAAUCACGACAGCUCAGAUCUCAGGAAGCCACAUCCCUAGGAAAAGGCGGAGGGUACUACAUCAAGGGAACACCCUGUGGGACAAAAGAAUCUGAACAACAGCCUCGAGCCCUAGACCUUCCCUCCGACAGAGCCUACCCAAAUGCGAAGGAACUAGGAAACCAACUCUGGUAAUAUGAGAAAACAAGGCUCUUUAAUACCCUCCAAAAAAAUCACACUAGCUCACCAGCAAUGGAUCCAACCAAAAAAAAUCCCUGAUUUACCUGAAAAAGAAUUCAUAAGGUCAGUUAUUAAGCUAAUCAAAGAGGUGCCAGAAAAAGGCAAAGCCCAAUUUAAGGAAAUAAAAAAAAAAUACAAAAAGUAAGGGGAGAAAUUUUCAAUGAAAUAGGUAGCAUAUAAUAAAAAGCAAUCAAAACUUCAGGAACCAACGGAUGCAGUUAUAGAAAUUCAAAAUGCUCUGGAAAGUCUCAGCAAUAGAAGCGAAUAAGCAGGAGAAAGAACCUCAGAGCUCAAAGACAAGGUUUUCAAAAUAAUCCAACAAAGACAAAGAAAAAAGAAUAAGAAAAUAUGAACAAAGCCUCCAAGAAGUCUGGGAUUAUGUUAAAUGAGCAAACCAAAGAAUAAUCGGCAUUCCUAAGAAGAAGAGAAAUCUAAGAGUUUGGAAAACAUAUUAGGGUAUCCACUACUGGGUAUCUACCCAGAGAAAAAGAAGUCAUCACACGAAAAGGAUGCUUGCACACAUAUGUUUAUAGCAGCACAAUUCUCAGUUGUAAAAAUGUGGAACCAACCCAUAUGCCCAUCAAUCAGUGAGUGGAUAAAGAAACUGCAGUAUACAUAUACAAUGGAAUACUACUCAGCCAUAAACAGGAAUGAAUUAAUGGCAUUCACAGCAACCUGGAUGAGAUUGGAGACUAUUAUUCUUAGUGAAGUAACUCAGGAAUGGAAAACCAAACAUUGUAUGUUCUCGAUCAUACGUGGGAGCUAAGCUAUGAGGAUACAGAGACGUAAGAAUGACACAGUGGACUUUGGGGACUCAGGGAAAAAGGGUGGGAAGGGAGUGAUGAAUAAAAGACUACAAUUUGGGUGCAGUGUAUACUGCUCAGGCGAUGCGUCCACCAAAAUCUCACAAAUCACCACUAACGAUCUUACUUAUGUGGCCAGGUGCAGUGGCUCAUGCCUGUAAUCCCAACAC